GACGAACGCUGGCGGCGUGCCUAAUACAUGCAAGUCGAGCGCAGGAAACUGACGGAACUCUUCGGAGGGAAGGCAGUGGAAUGAGCGGCGGACGGGUGAGUAACACGUAAGGAACCUGCCUCGAGGAUUGGGAUAACUCCGAGAAAUCGGAGCUAAUACCGGAUAGUUCAUCGGACCGCAUGGUACGUUGAUGAAAGGCGCUCCGGCGUCACCUUGAGAUGGCCUUGCGGCGCAUUAGCUAGUUGGUGGGGUAACGGCCCACCAAGGCGACGAUGCAUAGCCGACCUGAGAGGGUGAUCGGCCACACUGGGACUGAGACACGGCCCAGACUCCUACGGGAGGCAGCAGUAGGGAAUCUUCCACAAUGGACGAAAGUCUGAUGGAGCAACGCCGCGUGAGUGAUGAAGGUUUUCGGAUCGUAAAACUCUGUUGUAAGGGAAGAACACGUACGAGAGGGAAUGCUCGUACCUUGACGGUACCUUACGAGAAAGCCACGGCUAACUACGUGCCAGCCGCCGCCGUAA
RNAcentral lists this ribosomal RNA (524 nucleotides) under uncultured bacterium. RNAcentral describes it as "partial 16S ribosomal RNA". It matches the Rfam family "Bacterial small subunit ribosomal RNA", at positions 28 to 523 of the family's 1533-position model. The record is from RNAcentral.